Molecule: non-coding RNA, 72 nt
Organism: Ictidomys tridecemlineatus (thirteen-lined ground squirrel)
Lineage: Eukaryota; Metazoa; Chordata; Mammalia; Rodentia; Sciuridae
Source: Rfam
UGGGUUGUAGCUCAGUGGUAGAGCGCUUGCCUCCCACGCAUGAGGCCCUGGGUUCAACCCUCAGCACCACAU